CCUACGGGAGGCAGCAGUAAGGAAUAUUGGUCAAUGGGCGCAAGCCUGAACCAGCCAUGCCGCGUGCAGGAAGACGGCCCUACGGGUUGUAAACUGCUUUUGCAGGGGAAUAAACCUCAUUACGUGUAAUGAGCUGAAUGUACUCUGAGAAUAAGGAUCGGCUAACUCCGUGCCAGCAGCCGCGGUAAUACGGAGGAUCCAAGCGUUAUCCGGAUUUAUUGGGUUUAAAGGGUGCGUAGGCGGCCUAUUAAGUCAGGGGUGAAAGACGGUAGCUUAACUAUCGCAGUGCCUUUGAUACUGAUAGGCUUGAAUGGACUAGAGGUAGGCGGAAUGUGACAAGUAGCGGUGAAAUGCAUAGAUAUGUCACAGAACACCAAUUGCGAAGGCAGCUUACUAUGGUUUAAUUGACGCUGAGGCACGAAAGCGUGGGGAUCAAACAGGAUUAGAUACCCUGGUAGUCCACGCCCUAAACGAUGAACACUCGAUGUUAGCGAUAUACAGUUAGCGUCUAAGCGAAAGCGUUAAGUGUUCCACCUGGGGAGUACGCCCGCAAGGGUGAAACGUUAAAGGAAUUGACGG
This 579-nucleotide ribosomal RNA is filed under the name uncultured bacterium. RNAcentral's name for it is "bacterial SSU rRNA". It matches the Rfam family "Bacterial small subunit ribosomal RNA", at positions 338 to 916 of the family's 1533-position model. The record is from RNAcentral.